GCUAGCUCUGGGGCCACCAGUUUUAGACUGCAAGGGAAAAUUGGUGAAUGGAGUUAGCAUAGAGGGCAGCUGCCUGGCUAUAGUUUGGGAUUUCUUCUGAGCUGAAGCAGAAGGAAAGAUUUAGCAACUGUUUGUCGUGGCAGAAAAUCAUCUCUGAUCGUUUGUGGGGCAGAGGAUUGGAGUCAAGAAGAUAUAGACAAUUUCAAACGAGAAAUCCUGACCUGUGUUGUGUGGAGCUGUGUUUGCUUGAUGAACCUGUUAUAACUCCAUCCACCUUCACUCCAAGUGAAUGGAGAUCGUUUGGCGAAUUGAAUCAGGUCCUCAAGUUUCAUCGCCAUUGACUACUGAAGGUGUGAUUUGCAGCAAGCUCCUUUACUUUCCCUAUGGUUUUCCCUGCUACAAAAUGCGGCAAUUCUUAACUCACAGAAUUCUUGAGAUGAUUAAAUAGGAUAUGUAUGGUUCUGAGUGCAGAAUAUCGAACACAGAGGCCUUUGAUAGUAACAAGAGGCUUCUACUCUGUGUUAGGAACUAUUUCACGGACUGGCAAUACCUAGAUGAAUAAAAACCAGCACAGCCUCUGACUUCAAAGAACCCACUAAAGUUGAGAUGCCCUAGGGAUUAAAUAAGACAGUGUCCCUAAAGCUAUCUAGCGUAUGU
RNAcentral lists this long non-coding RNA (657 nucleotides) under Homo sapiens (human). RNAcentral's name for it is "HSALNT0225456". Lineage: Eukaryota; Metazoa; Chordata; Mammalia; Primates; Hominidae. The record is from RNAcentral.